Molecule: long non-coding RNA, 384 nt
Organism: Manacus vitellinus (golden-collared manakin)
Lineage: Eukaryota; Metazoa; Chordata; Aves; Passeriformes; Pipridae
Exons: 3
Source: RefSeq, a predicted model, not a curated record
GGGUGAUAUAACUCAGUAUGCAGGAUUCACAAUCACCUGGAUACUAUGGGAAAUGCAGCCAUUUUAAAGGCAUCCUGUGGUUGUCAGUAAUGUUGUUCCCAUUUCUCCAAAUCCAAUGGUGCUCAGGGUGAUGAAAGUGAAGUAAAAGCCUUCUCCAUAGCUCCAGCCUUCUACAUAACUGAAGACUAAUGGCGGGAACACUAGAAAAAGCAAAGUCCCAGUGGACAAGAAGAUGGCCACUGCCAGUGUUUGAACCACCUGAAAGAUAAACCAAAGAUGGCAGCUAAGCAGCAUGGAGCAGUUGUCUUGUUGAAAUUGCUGGGUCUGUUUUUUCUUGAAUGACAAACCCAAUCCAGCUGGGAGCAGUGGUAAAAAAAGGAAGGA